Amphibalanus amphitrite is the source of this 1092-nucleotide long non-coding RNA. RefSeq lists it as uncharacterized. The transcript has 4 exons. The record is from RefSeq and is a predicted model, not a curated record. Lineage: Eukaryota; Metazoa; Arthropoda; Thecostraca; Balanomorpha; Balanidae.
GUCUGGGAUUCAUCGUCAUUCGUUAGUGAGACGCGGAGACUGAGGGGUACAGCGCUAAGUGCAAGAUGAAGAGUGUGAUGAUAUUGGUGGUUUUGGUGUGCUGUUUGGUGUUAGCGAGCGCGGCCCCACAAUUCGGAGGCGGCUCGGGCCGCUGCCGGCCCGGCAGUGUGGUUCAGAGAGACUGUAACACGUGCACGUGCUCCUCGACCGGGGUCCUCGGCUGUACGCUGAAGGCCUGUGUCGGAGGAGGCGCCUCCGGCGGAGGAAGGCCGCGCCCGCGUCCGCUGCCAGUAAAUUUUCCCGGAAACUUCCCGGGGAGUUUUCCGGGAAGGUUUCCCGGAGGUGGAAGCCGGUUUCCCCCUAACUUCGGAAGGCUUGGAAACUUCAGGGGGUAACAACAUGACGAGUAAGUAAUCGGGAGGAGAGGGCAACGACAACGGAGCGACUGCCUGAAAAAAGCCAUCACAUGCAUAUAUGCUGGAAUUUCACAGCGUCAAGAAAUCAUCUGUCAUUCGAAGUCAAUGCUUCAGUCUUCAUUGUUAUGUGCUCUAAUUAAAUAUAUUUCUUCGGCACCUAUGUAACGUUGGAGAUGACAACAUUGUUGCCGCACCUUGUGUGUAUUGUUGACACAUCAUGAUGAUAUUGUUAUUGCUAUAUUUUUAAUGCGGAGGGCUCACCCAUCUGAUCAUUCCCAUGACCUACCGUCACCUGCGCUCAGAGAUAUGCAACACUACGGAUGUCGUUAAUCAUAUGAUGACAAUAAAUGGAUGUUCUUCAUUUUCGUUUGCAACCAUUUUCACUUCGUGGGAUAUCGCCAGAGUCAAGUAUACGGAAGCCCUUAUUUAUCAUCAUUCUAUCUGCUGCGACGUUUGCUUUAGAUAUCGAUAGAAAAUGACAUAAACUCAGCCGCAGGAGAUAUUGCAAUUUAACAACAGACGGUUAUGAUAACCAUCGGCGCUCAUGAACUACUUUAUAUGUGGCUGGUACUUCUGGCUAAAAGAACCAUUGAACCGAAUGACAACAAGACCUCCUCCCCCAUCUUCCCCAUUCACCCCAACACCGGUCCCUGUCCCUAUCGUCCGAUAAAAACCA